RNAcentral lists this ribosomal RNA (442 nucleotides) under uncultured bacterium. RNAcentral describes it as "partial 16S ribosomal RNA". It matches the Rfam family "Bacterial small subunit ribosomal RNA", at positions 338 to 795 of the family's 1533-position model. The record is from RNAcentral.
CCUACGGGAGGCAGCAGUGGGGAAUAUUGCACAAUGGGGGAAACCCUGAUGCAGCGACGCCGCGUGCAGGAUGAAGGCCUUCGGGUUUUAAACUGCUUUUAUAAGCGAGAAAUAUGAUGGUAACUUAUGAAUAAGGAUCGGCUAACUACGUGCCAGCAGCCGCGGUCAUACGUAGGAUCCGAGCAUUAUCCGGAGUGACUGGGUGUAAAGAGUGGCGUAGUUGGCAUAAUGAGUAGCUAGUGAAAUCUGGUGGCUCAACAAUUCAGACUAUGAGCUAAACUGUUAAGCUCGAGACCGUUAGGGGUAACUGGAAUUUCUAGUGUAGGAGUGAAAUCCGUAGAUAUUAGAAGGAACACCAAUAGCGUAGGCAGGUUACUGGGACGGUUCUGACACUAAGGCACGAAAGCGUAGGGAGCAAACGGGAUUAGAUACCCUAGUAGUC